GCGUGUCUGCCAAGUGCUAUCCUGUCGCCACACUAUACAGACACAGGAAGUAGAGCAGUGAGCCAAGGGCGAUAGCAUGUCAGCUCCUCGUAAUCCGUCGCCUCUAGAGGCAGCUAAUGUACCAGCCUCGGCAACACCAACUGCGCCAGCGACCGCAGCGGAGGCCGCAUCUAGGUCUCCAGGCCAUGCUGAGGCUUCUCUUGAUCCACAUCCGUUAUUCGAAGUAGCGGCGUCGCUCCUCGCUCGUCUGAAGCCCUUCUUGUCAGAGCCGCACAUCGAGGUUGAGGCGCGACUUUGUAGCAUCGGCCAGCCUCAGAAGCGAGCACGUGAGAACACGCAGAAGGCCCCUGUUGGCGCUACCCCUACAUUAAUUCCAUCACGCGAUGCACCGCGUAUUGUGGAAGACGGACGUCGUCGCAUUCAAGUCGGUGUGAGCGCGGAAGACUUCGCCAGGAUGAAGGCACAUGUUGCGGAAGAGGCGGAGGCCUUGCCGUUCCAGCAGUCCGUGACGGAGGAUGUCAUUACGAAGACUGGCCGCUACACGUACGUCGUUGCCGAAGACGGGUCAGAAUCGUUUGUCGGGUGCAUAGCGAAGAGGCGGCUGUGCAACAUCGAGGUGCUCGUGCCGGGCUGCCCGUACGACGUUCGUGUCUCCAUCAGCACAGAGGUGCCCAAGGCAGCAACGAGUGCGCCUGCUGUAAAGCCGCAAGGGUACGUUCGUCGCAAGCGGCGGUGGACAGCAACGGCAGAGUCCUUUGAGUACGCCUUUACGCGCGUCGGCGCCGACGGCCAACAGUGCCCAAGCUUCGAGGUGGAAAUUGAGGGCGUGCACGCAAACAGCCAGGCUGGUGUGACCGAGGCUUGGCUGGCGGAUCUGCUGCGCCGUUUGCUGGCCCUCGCGCGGCUGAAGGGCAACACCGGAUUGCCACAAAAGCCGGCGCGUGGAGAGCACCAAUGAUGGCGCUCUCGGCGCGCAUCGCUAAUGUGGUCUUGUACGCGUGUGUGCCGCUCUUGCCCCCUCCCUCCGAUUUACAUGCGCGGGCGGUUGAGAGAAGGGGGACCGCACGGGCAGUAUCUGCGCCAUCCGCCUGCACCCACUCCCUCUCGCUCCGGUCGGCUCACCCCCUCUCAUGUCUCGCAUUUUUUAACGGGCGUCUUGGCAGCAUCAUUGCCGACACCGAAGUCUGAGCACGCUCAUGAGGCGGCACGGAGAACAAGUUGCCUUGUCGCGUGUACGCGCUUGCGCCCAUGUGUCUCCCUCUCCUCACCCUGCUCCUCUCAGCGUCAGCGUUUUCGUAAUUCUCUCCCUCACUCCAUCCUUUUUCGAACGGAGCCGCCUUUCAUGUAUGGUGUGCGUGCGUGCUCUGUGCCUGAUGCCGCCGUCUGCAGUGGCGCACAGCCGACUACACCUACCGCUGUGCUCAUCUUGUUCCGUUGCAUACAGACAGUGGCAGGCGUGCGUUGUUGUGCUGCUCCACUUUCCCCCCUCCCUCUUUUCCCACCCCUUGCACUUCUCCUCCCUUUCUCCCAUGGUGUCUGUAUGGGCACUCUCCCGCCGCCGCUGCUUGUGCUGCCGCUGACGCCCUUGUGCAACACAUCCCUCAUUCACACACGCCCCGCCUUCUCCUCUCAACACACCAAAG
RNAcentral lists this unclassified non-coding RNA (1643 nucleotides) under Leishmania donovani. RNAcentral's name for it is "gene:LdHU3.25.2650(CDS-product:RNA_triphosphatase _putative)". Lineage: Eukaryota; Euglenozoa; Kinetoplastea; Trypanosomatida; Trypanosomatidae. The record is from RNAcentral.